This 369-nucleotide long non-coding RNA is filed under the name Mustela putorius furo (domestic ferret). RNAcentral describes it as "lncRNA (ENSMPUG00000030759.1)". The record is from RNAcentral. Lineage: Eukaryota; Metazoa; Chordata; Mammalia; Carnivora; Mustelidae.
UAAAUCUCUCCACAUCUCUUGUCCCUGUUCUAUACAAUGGGGACAAUAAUUCUUAUCUUGCAGGGUUACUAGGAGGAUAGAGUGGCCAUAUGCUUGUGAAGUGGUCAGUACUGCGCCUGGCACAGAGGACAAGCUUUCAAUUAUGAUAUUAAUGGACACAUACCUUGUACCAAGUGUUGGGCCCAGAACAAGGAGCACCAUGGAGAAGAAACUGGACACAGUCCUAUUUCUAAUGGAACUUGUGGAAUGGUUGGGGAAGAAGACAUCAGACGAAAACAAGCUCCAAAUAUGUGUUUACUCAAGCUUGUGAUUGUAAGUGCAAAGAAGAGAAGCCCAGCAAAGGUACUAUGAGAAGGAAUAGCCAGAGUG